This 1222-nucleotide long non-coding RNA is filed under the name Vulpes vulpes (red fox). RNAcentral's name for it is "lncRNA (ENSVVUG00000009668.1)". The record is from RNAcentral. Lineage: Eukaryota; Metazoa; Chordata; Mammalia; Carnivora; Canidae.
GGCCCCGGCCCCGGCUGCGAGCUGCGCUGCCGUCCCGGCGCCUCUUCAGCAGGGGAGCUGCACCGCAGCUGCCAUGUUGAUACAAACUGCAUCCUGGGAGGCAUGUCCCUCUCAGGCCGUUUAAAGAGAAACACUCCGAGGCUCGUCGGAGGCUGCAGGAACCCAGACAGCUCCAUCUACAGCCGGUAGGAGCGAACAGUGUCGAGCGAGCCGCCGGGCGGCGACGGACACGCCCUGAGCCCGGGCCGGCCCGUCGUGGAGCCCGGGCCGAACCGCGCGGCCCAAACUGCAUCCUGGGAGGCAUGUCCCUCUCAGGCCGUUUAAAGAGAAACACUCCGAGGCUCGUCGGAGGCUGCAGGAACCCAGACAGCUCCAUCUACAGCCGGUAGGAGCGAACAGUGUCGAGCGAGCCGCCGGGCGGCGACGGACACGCCCUGAGCCCGGGCCGGCCCGUCGUGGAGCCCGGGCCGAACCGCGCGGCCCCNUUGGCUCCGACAGCCUUCCUCCCGCCGGAUCCCCCUGCUCGUCUCAAACCCAGAACCCGGGCCGUUCCCUUUCAAAACCUGCGCUCACAAAGGGAUCUCAGAGGCCCGGCGCACCAAAGGAAGCCCGAGUUCAUGUGACCAGCUCCGUGCAGCCCGGGUUCCAGGGAAGGGGCUGUGGUUCCAAGGGUGGCAAGGGGGUUGGGUGCUUUUGUCAAAUGCCCGAGUGUUGUUUUCGACACGAAAGGACACAGUUCCGAGCAUCAGGGGGAGCUAGGGCUGGAAGGGGCCGACCCGUCGUUUGGGAGGAAACUGAGGCCGAGUGGGAGAGAGACGAAGUUGCGGUGCCAGUCCCUGGUAGGAAUGCUCUGGCUCACCUUGGGAGAGCGCGCAACAGAAAUGAUUGUUUUGGGCCAUUCGGGAUGCCUUGAACUUCCAUUUGAACUUUAGGAUCAGCUUGUGAAUUUCUACAACUAAGCCAGCUAGAAUUUUGAUGGGGUCCAGAAAUCAACUAAUCUGCUAAUACUCCUCGAAGAAGUACCCAGAUGGAUGAAUAUAUUAUCAUUCUUUUUCAGAUGAAUGUAAGAUAAGAAAUUCAGUAUUAAUUCUGGAUUUUCUUAAUACCAAAGUAAAACGAAAGACUCCAACCACCUGAGUAGUUAACUUAUUUGAAUUUAUUUUCCUUUGUCUUCUGGUAUAUGUGAAAAGUGGAAGAAUAAAAAUAUACCUUCCAUUUGACA